This 1274-nucleotide long non-coding RNA is filed under the name Homo sapiens (human). RNAcentral's name for it is "novel transcript". The record is from RNAcentral. Lineage: Eukaryota; Metazoa; Chordata; Mammalia; Primates; Hominidae.
AGAAAUUGAAAGAGGAGGAGAGGAGGAGAGACCCACAGUUGAUCUCUGAGAAGUGAGUAGCUGGAGGCACCAGGAUACCAGCCAAGCCUAAAGGAUAAAGCAAAUCCCUGGACAUGGCUUUUGAUUCCAAGCUAAGAAGUGCAAGUAUUAACAGCAUCAGUCACAGUAGCUGAGUAUCUCCUGUGAGCUUCCAUAGGAAUUGAGCUUGUCUUUACAAGAAGCUCUUCCAAAUACAACUGCAACUGCCAAGAGAUUGAUGGACCAGAGAAUGGCCUCUUCAUUCCAGGCACUUCUAAAGUCCAAGUGGUCAAAUACCAGCCUCUUUUUACCAAUGUUCCCACCUGUUUCAUUCAGCCAAAUUUCAUUAGAUGAAGGUUUGAAUGGUGAAGAAAUGAUGGACGCUGUUUGUCUCAAACAAGGACUCUAAUGAUACAACAGAACAAGUCACAAGAAAGCUUGCCUGGAAAACCAUACACUGGCCUCUUCGUGGUGAAGUCCUUCACAAUCCUUACAAACAUAGAAAAUAUUCAGCAAUUCGUUUGUUUGUUUUCCAGUCCACUCUUACUUGAGAAAAAUGCAAAACAUCAAAGACACAGAAAAACCACCAGUCUAUACAGCUUGCCCAUACUAAAUUGUUAUUCAUUUCAGAAGAGUGUACAGUUUCUUUCUGUAAGACUCUAUUAAACCAGUUACUCUACAAUAGCAAACAUUUUAGGCAAACCUAACCAUUGCUUCCCAUAAAGAUAUUUAUAUCUUUAAGUGGUAUCUGAUUCAUCCCUAAGAAAUAUGUUAUCAAGAUGUUUGUUUGUUUGUUUGUUUGUUCAUUUGUUUUUGAGAUGGAGUUUCACUCUUGUUGCCCAGGCUGGAGUGCAGUGGCAUGAUCUCGGUUCACUGCAACCUCUGCCUCCCGGUUCAAGCGAUUCUCCUGCCUCAGCCUCCCGAGUAGCUGGGAUUACUGGCACCCACCACCACUCCCAGCUAAUUUUUUGUAUUUUUAAUAGAGACGGGGUUUCACCAUGUUGGCCAGGCUGGUCUCAAACUCCUGACCUCAGGUGAUCCACUUGCCUCGACCUCCCAAAGUGCUGGGAUAACAGGCAUGAGCCAUUGCACCCGGCCGAAGAUUUUUGUUUUGACUGUUUUUUUCUGAACUACAGGGAAACGAAGGCUUUUAUGUUAUUGUCCCCCUUUUCUCACUAACUGGACUUCCUGUGACACGUGAAGACGCUAUGCAUGUUUAAUAAAUACACUUUGAAUUUAAUGCUCAAGGAAGAUAA